Molecule: non-coding RNA, 73 nt
Organism: Rhagoletis zephyria (snowberry fruit fly)
Lineage: Eukaryota; Metazoa; Arthropoda; Insecta; Diptera; Tephritidae
Source: the annotation of a RefSeq genome assembly
UCCGUGUUAGCUCAGUUGGUAGAGCGUUAGGCUUUUAACCUAACGGCCGAGGGUUCGAACCCCUUACACGGAG